This is a long non-coding RNA of Oxyura jamaicensis (ruddy duck), 332 nucleotides long. RefSeq lists it as uncharacterized. The transcript is spliced from 3 exons. Lineage: Eukaryota; Metazoa; Chordata; Aves; Anseriformes; Anatidae. The record is from RefSeq and is a predicted model, not a curated record.
GGCUCCCUCUUAAUUUCUUUUGUCUCGUUUUCACUGAAGUUUCUGCCUGAAGCCAUUUCAGCGGCCAGCCUAGUCUUCGUCCGGCCAGUCAGCAAGUGAGACCCAGCUGGUCUGUCUGGGCGUUCUGGUGGGAGAUGCUUGAACAUCACCGUGACACCCGCACGCCAUCACAGUGACAUCACAGUGGAACAGCCAGAGCAGAUGUUGCUGUCCAGCACUUGUCGCUGGUGCUGUACCACGGGUGUUUUGACUCAAAAGAAGCACAUAAAGCUGUGUUUAAAGGGGAUCACUUCAUACCUAGACCUUGCUUCCCCUUCCACUACAUGAAAGCA